Hemicordylus capensis (graceful crag lizard) is the source of this 550-nucleotide long non-coding RNA. RefSeq lists it as uncharacterized. The record is from RefSeq and is a predicted model, not a curated record. Lineage: Eukaryota; Metazoa; Chordata; Lepidosauria; Squamata; Cordylidae. The transcript is spliced from 2 exons.
UUGCUGUUGCAAGGGAGGAGGACCAACAAUGCUACUUGUGGCUGACGAACCUUAAAAUGUUAAUUGUCUGUCGCUCACACUCCCUGCCGGGUCUGCAGCAUGUACCCGUCUGUUUGCUAUGAGCCAGAGAUAAACAGCUUUAUUAAUAGCUAAGAGACUUAUUCUUCAGUUGUGGAAAGCCACUGCAGCACCAGGUAUAGAAGACUGGAUGAACGAGAAGACAGCGCUGGCUGUUGGAGAAAACAAGGCAUUUCAGGAAAUGGACAAACUAAGCAAGUUUAACAUUUGGAAAGCUUUUGUUGAACUCUUCUCUAGUUAUCUAUGGGACAUGAUACCUGUGACUUGUGAUUGGUCUAGUCCCUAUGAAAUUGACAGUAGUGUUAUUUUGUUUAGUUUUUCCACACACCCCCUUUUCCUUUCCUUCAUCUGUAUGAAGGGUCAGGGUGUAUUUAUAGGAUUUGUUGUUGUCAUUUUGAUUGUGUAAUCUCAUAUAAACUUUAAAUAAAUGUUAAUUAAAAAACCUAGGCAGUUAAUUAAAAAACUACCAUCA